GACAGAGGGUGCGAACGUUGUUCGGAAUUACUGGGCGUAAAGCGCGUGUAGGCGGCAGCGCAAGUCGGGCGUGAAAUCCCACGGCUCAACCGUGGAAGUGCACUCGAAACUGCGCAGCUAGAGUCCUGGAGAGGAAGGCGGAAUGCUUGGUGUAGAGGUGAAAUUCGUAGAUAUCAAGCGGAACACCGGUGGCGAAGGCGGCCUUCUGGACAGUGACUGACGCUGAGACGCGAAAGCGUGGGGAGCAAACAGG
RNAcentral lists this ribosomal RNA (253 nucleotides) under uncultured bacterium. RNAcentral describes it as "partial 16S ribosomal RNA". It matches the Rfam family "Bacterial small subunit ribosomal RNA", at positions 524 to 776 of the family's 1533-position model. The record is from RNAcentral.